UUGUUGUCCAAUAUGUUCCUGUAGUAGUUGUUGUCUAGAAUCAUAGGGGUGCCACGGUCGUUUCUCACGUACUGCACGGCCUUGGGGUCUGGGAUGGCAUCAGGGCACUUCUUCAGCAUGUGAGGGACAUGGUCAGGGUUCAGCGCUGAAUCAAUCUCUGGGUACAAACGGUGCACCAACUUCACACAAUGGGUUCUACCAACACUGUGUGCUCCUGUUCAACAAAAUAUCUCAAUAAUUAAAGCUUAAAUCUGCAACCAAUAACGCCACGUGUUGCUUUUUUUAAUAUUGCAUCAAGUUUCAUACUGAGCCCACAUACAUUUAUGAAACAAUAAAUAUGACUCAUACAGUUUCCUGUGCUAAUUUAUGUAUGCAUUAUGAAUAUGUUUAUGCAGAGAAAUUAUUGCAUAUAUUAUGAAUGAAAGAACAAGUAUGGUGGCACAAGAUUUGCAUAAUGGGGCUUGUCUUUUUGAUGAACGUGUGUAUGUAGAAGAUGGAUUAUGGGAGGAUGUAGAGUAGUUCA
RNAcentral lists this long non-coding RNA (523 nucleotides) under Phaseolus vulgaris (common bean). Its description in RNAcentral is "long non-coding RNA (PVUL_LNC003880)". The record is from RNAcentral. Lineage: Eukaryota; Viridiplantae; Streptophyta; Magnoliopsida; Fabales; Fabaceae.